This 75-nucleotide transfer RNA is filed under the name Wigglesworthia glossinidia endosymbiont of Glossina brevipalpis. Its description in RNAcentral is "tRNA-Arg (CCG) (tRNA-Arg-CCG-1-1)". It matches the Rfam family "tRNA". From Rfam's summary of the family: Transfer RNA (tRNA) molecules are approximately 80 nucleotides in length. Lineage: Bacteria; Pseudomonadati; Pseudomonadota; Gammaproteobacteria; Enterobacterales; Erwiniaceae. The record is from Rfam by way of RNAcentral.
ACGCCCGUAGCUCAAUAUGGAUAGAGCGUUGUUUUCCGGAAGCAAAGGUUUCAGGUUCAAGUCCUGUCGGGCGUU